Molecule: ribosomal RNA, 527 nt
Filed under: uncultured bacterium
Lineage: Bacteria
Description: bacterial SSU rRNA
Rfam family: Bacterial small subunit ribosomal RNA
Source: RNAcentral
AAUAGAUACCCCGGUAGUCCACGCCGUAAACGAUGUCGACUUGGAGGUUGUUCCCUUGAGGAGUGGCUUCCGGAGCUAACGCGUUAAGUCGACCGCCUGGGGAGUACGGCCGCAAGGUUAAAACUCAAAUGAAUUGACGGGGGCCCGCACAAGCGGUGGAGCAUGUGGUUUAAUUCGAUGCAACGCGAAGAACCUUACCUACUCUUGACAUCCAGAGAACUUAGCAGAGAUGCUUUGGUGCCUUCGGGAACUCUGAGACAGGUGCUGCAUGGCUGUCGUCAGCUCCUGUUGUGAAAUGUUGGGUUAAGUCCCGCAACGAGCGCAACCCUUAUCCUUUGUUGCCAGCGGUUCGGCCGGGAACUCAAAGGAGACUGCCAGUGAUAAACUGGAGGAAGGUGGGGAUGACGUCAAGUCAUCAUGGCCCUUACGAGUAGGGCUACACACGUGCUACAAUGGCGUAUACAAAGAGAAGCGACCUCGCGAGAGCAAGCGGACCUCAUAAAGUACGUCGUAGUCCGGAUUGGAGU